GACGAACGCUGGCGGCGUGCUUAACACAUGCAAGUCGAACGGAAAGGCCCUGCUUGCAGGGUACUCGAGUGGCGAACGGGUGAGUAACACGUGGGUGAUCUGCCCUGCACUUCGGGAUAAGCUUGGGAAACUGGGUCUAAUACCGGAUAGGAACCAUCUUUAGUGUGGUGGUUGGAAAGUUUUUUCGGUGUAGGAUGAGCUCGCGGCCUAUCAGCUUGUUGGUGGGGUAAUGGCCUACCAAGGCGGCGACGGGUAGCCGGCCUGAGAGGGUGUACGGCCACAUUGGGACUGAGAUACAGCCCGGACUCCUACGGGAGGCAGCAGUGGGGAAUAUUGCACAAUGGGCGCAAGCCUGAUGCAGCGACGCCGCGUGGGGGAUGAAGGCCUUCGGGUUGUAAACUCCUUUCGCUAGGGACGAAGCUUUGUUGUGACGGUACCUAGAUAAGAAGCACCGGCUAACUACGUG
RNAcentral lists this ribosomal RNA (466 nucleotides) under uncultured bacterium. Its description in RNAcentral is "partial 16S ribosomal RNA". It matches the Rfam family "Bacterial small subunit ribosomal RNA", at positions 28 to 507 of the family's 1533-position model. The record is from RNAcentral.